Molecule: ribosomal RNA, 589 nt
Filed under: uncultured bacterium
Lineage: Bacteria
Description: bacterial SSU rRNA
Rfam family: Bacterial small subunit ribosomal RNA
Source: RNAcentral
CCUACGGGAGGCAGCAGUGGGGAAUUUUGGACAAUGGGCGCAAGCCUGAUCCAGCAAUGCCGCGUGAGUGAAGAAGGCCUUCGGGUUGUAAAGCUCUUUUGUCAGGGAAGAAACGGCUGCGGCUAAUAUCCGCGGCUAAUGACGGUACCCGAAGAAUAAGCACCGGCUAACUACGUGCCAGCAGCCGCGGUAAUACGUAGGGUGCAAGCGUUAAUCGGAAUUACUGGGCGUAAAGCGUGCGCAGGCGGUUUUGUAAGUCUGACGUGAAAGCCCCGGGCUCAACCUGGGAAUUGCGUUGGAGACUGCAAGGCUUGAAUCUGGCAGAGGGGGGGUAGAAUUCCACGUGUAGCAGUGAAAUGCGUAGAGAUGUGGAGGAACACCGAUGGCGAAGGCAGCCCCCUGGGUCAAGAUUGACGCUCAUGCACGAAAGCGUGGGGAGCAAACAGGAUUAGAUACCCUGGUAGUCCACGCCCUAAACGAUGUCUACUAGUUGUCGGGUUUUAAUUAACUUGGUAACGCAGCUAACGCGUGAAGUAGACCGCCUGGGGAGUACGGUCGCAAAGAUUAAAACUUCAAAUGAAAUUGACGG